UUAUGGCCAUAUCACGUUGGAACAUCGGUUCGAACCCGAUCACCGAAGUUUAGUAACGUCGAGCCUGGUCAGUACUUAGAUGGGUGACCGCUUGGAAAUACCAGGUACUGAAA
Acanthosepion pharaonis is the source of this 113-nucleotide non-coding RNA. NCBI's taxonomy places the organism in Eukaryota, Metazoa, Mollusca, Cephalopoda, Sepiida, Sepiidae. The record is from the annotation of a GenBank genome assembly.